Molecule: ribosomal RNA, 235 nt
Filed under: uncultured bacterium
Lineage: Bacteria
Also listed under: 1 other name
Description: partial 16S ribosomal RNA
Rfam family: Bacterial small subunit ribosomal RNA
Source: RNAcentral
CGGACGGGUGAGUAACGCGUGGGUAACCUGCCUCACACAGGGGGAUAACAGUUGGAAACGGCUGCUAAUACCGCAUAAGCGCACAGUACCGCAUGGUACAGUGUGAAAAACUCCGGUGGUGUGAGAUGGACCCGCGUCUGAUUAGCUAGUUGGCAGGGCAACGGCCUACCAAGGCGACGAUCAGUAGCCGACCUGAGAGGGUGACCGGCCACAUUGGGACUGAGACACGGCCCAA